CAAUAGCGUAUAUUAAAGUUGUUGCAGUUAAAAAGCUCGUAGUUGGAUUUCUGGUGGGGCUGUCGGCCUGGCUCCGAAAGGGGUCGGCGCUUGUACACGCCUGGCCAUCCUCGGGGGAAGCUUUGCUGGCAUUAAGUUGUCGGCGGAGUGACGCUCGUCGUUUACUGUGAACAAAUUAGAGUGUUCAAAGCAGGCUUAGGCCGUUGAAUACAUUAGCAUGGAAUAAUGAGAUAGGACUUUGGUGGUCUAUUUUGUUGGUUUGCACGCCGAAGUAAUGAUUAAUAGGGGCGGUUGGGGGUAUUCGUAUUCAAUUGUCAGAGGUGAAAUUCUUGGAUUUAUGGAAGACGAACUACUGCGAAAGCAUUUACCAAGGAUGUUUNCAUUAA
RNAcentral lists this ribosomal RNA (386 nucleotides) under uncultured eukaryote. RNAcentral describes it as "partial 18S ribosomal RNA". It matches the Rfam family "Eukaryotic small subunit ribosomal RNA", at positions 592 to 976 of the family's 1831-position model. The record is from RNAcentral.